RNAcentral lists this ribosomal RNA (238 nucleotides) under Inocybe sp. P11_M1_772. RNAcentral describes it as "5.8S ribosomal RNA". The stretch from base 1 to 149 matches the Rfam family "5.8S ribosomal RNA". Rfam says of the family: 5.8S ribosomal RNA (5.8S rRNA) is a component of the large subunit of the eukaryotic ribosome. It is transcribed by RNA polymerase I as part of the 45S precursor that also contains 18S and 28S rRNA. Lineage: Eukaryota; Fungi; Basidiomycota; Agaricomycetes; Agaricales; Inocybaceae. The record is from RNAcentral.
UCAGCAACGGAUCUCUUGGCUCUCGCAUCGAUGAAGAACGCAGCGAAAUGCGAUAAGUAAUGUGAAUUGCAGAAUUCAGUGAAUCAUCGAAUCUUUGAACGCAUCUUGCGCUCCUUGGUAUUCCGAGGAGCAUGCCUGUUUGAGUGUCAUUUUGAACUCUCAAAGCCCACAUUUUGACGUGGCUUUGGACUUGAGGGCUUUUGCAGGCUUUUUUUAAUGAAAGGCCUGCUCCCUUGAA